RNAcentral lists this ribosomal RNA (440 nucleotides) under Nitrospina sp. Its description in RNAcentral is "partial 23S ribosomal RNA". It matches the Rfam family "Bacterial large subunit ribosomal RNA", at positions 2494 to 2925 of the family's 2925-position model. The record is from RNAcentral. Lineage: Bacteria; Pseudomonadati; Nitrospinota; Nitrospinia; Nitrospinales; Nitrospinaceae.
AAGAGUCCAUAUCGACGGGGCGGUUUGGCACCUCGAUGUCGGCUCACCGCAUCCUGGGGCUGAAGCAGGUCCCAAGGGUUGGUCUGUUCGCCCAUUAAAGCGGUACGCGAGCUGGGUUUAGAACGUCGUGAGACAGUUCGGGCCCUAUCCGUCGUGGGUGUUAGAUAUUUGAAGGGAGCUGUUCCUAGUACGAGAGGACCGGAAUGGACAAACCUCUAGUGUGCUGGUUGUGAUGCCAAUUGCAUUGCCAGGUAGCUAUGUUUGGAAAGGAUAACCGCUGAAAGCAUCUAAGCGGGAAGCCAACCCUGAAACAAGAUAUCUCUUCUCCCCUCGGGGAGACUGAAGACUCCUUGAAGAUUACAAGGUUGAUAGGCCAGAUGUGUAAGCACAGCAAUGUGUUCAGCUAACUGGUACUAAUAAGUCGUGAGGCUUGACCUUAU